Molecule: non-coding RNA, 3652 nt
Organism: Aegilops tauschii subsp. strangulata
Lineage: Eukaryota; Viridiplantae; Streptophyta; Magnoliopsida; Poales; Poaceae
Source: RefSeq, a predicted model, not a curated record
GGAUUGGCCAGCGAUGAGAGAAAAGGAUUGGCCCCCACUCCCCAUUGCCCGAUUCCUCUCCCUCUCCCUCUUGUUGCCGCUGCCGCCACCGGCGACCUCCCUGCAGCCGCCGCCAUCAGCCACGCCCUCCCCAACGGCUGACUCUCCCACCCCUUUUCUCCUCAACAUCGGCGACCUCUCCUCCCCCUCGCACCAGAUCGAGCAGCAUGUCGGGCAGGGCAGAGCGGAGCGGGGAUGGGAGGAGACGGGCAGACGGCGGCGGAGCGGGGAUGGGAGGAGAUGGGCAGACGGCGGCGGAGCGGGGAUGGGAGGAGAUGGGCAGACGGCGGCGGCGGCGUCCUCCUCGCCCAUCGGCGCGCGACACCUGUCAGAGCCCCGUCGGCUCCGUCGAUCUGCCAGACCUAGGUCGCCGGCGUGGCUGCUGUCUCAGGCGAGAAGAGUGGUCGCGUUAAGACGCGGGAAGGGGGAGCAGCCAACCAUGCUCAAGGCCGUCCGUGGCGGCUGCAAAUCGAGGCUGCGGCUACAAAUUGAAGGUCAGUGCGCGGCGGCCCUCUCUCCUUCUCAUCCCCUCUCGCUCGAGCGAAAGUUGCGGACAUAGUGGCGGUGGCCCGUCCGUGGCGUCGUCCUCAGCCAGAGAAGGGGAGAGGAGGGCGAGAUGAAGAGAGGAGGUGGAGGGAGAUGGUGAGUCCAUGGAGAAGCACCACCGGGAGCAGAUCCGGCCAUCCGCGGCAAGAAGGCCACGCCCCCCUCUACCUCCGUGUCGUCACCCAGGUUCAGGCAUAGCAUACUGAUGCAAUUGAGGUGCAUCCGCUGGUGCCGAACAAACAGCAUAAAAGCCAUCUUCAGCACCAAACCAUCUAUGCAUCGUGACUGAAUGAACUGGUGCACUCUACUAUGGCUGGAAGUAGGCAAGGUGGACUAAUCGCAGGAGCUUCGGCUGCAAUGAUGUUUGCUAGAUUGAAUGGUUACUUGGAAAGUACUGGCCAAAUCAUGGAAAUCUCGAAGAAGAUACUAAAAGAGUAAAAAAACUGUUUGAUUAUCGUGCUUGAAAGGUUUCUAAAAAGUACACACCGAUCUGUAUGAGGACUGACGCUAGCAGGGGUUUGCCAUUUUUCCUGAGCAUUUUCCAAAUAAAAAUGUUUAUACAAGUAAUAUGUGUCCUUCUCGUAAAUGUGCUGCAACUGGAUCCUUACAAUUCUCUGUUUUUUCAGUUGUACUAAUAGUAGUUGUUUGUGCAAAAUGAAGGCCUUUGUGAUGCGGGUUGAGGAGGAAAACGACUCGGAAGAGGAAGAUCAUAGAUUACGAGCUAUACAAGACUAAUCCAUGGGUUUGCUCCUACUCCCCUCUUCCACCAGAUUUUGCCUAGUGAAUCAUGUAAUGGAGGACCAGUGCUUCAUCGAGUCCAUCCCGCCCCUUGGCACUGCCGUUGGCGUCUUCAACAACCUCGCUAGGUACGAUGUAGCAUGCUUCGACGUAUAAAGUAAUUUGUGCCAUCAUCUUUGCCAUCUAUUUAUGUUUAGGACUGUGACAUGUUACUACUAACUGAUUAUGCAUGUUGUUAGUAUAUGAUCUGUACAAGAUCAACGCCUAAAAGGGUGCCUGCAUCGGAGUUGAGUUGGAUACCUGAAGCUCGAGGAUUAGGGUGCCGACACAACGUCGCCAGCCGCAGGCAGGAGCUCAGCCCCACAUCCUUGCUCAAGUGCUUCCGAGCGAGAAAGACUGCGAGGAGUUGGACGUGCAAUGGCCUAGCGGAGUCGUCCGCGCCGCGACGCCGCCGGUAUGGAGGCCCAGGCUCGGGUUUAACUCAGCAAGCUUUAGUGCUUAUUUGUUAAUAAUCCUGGGUUCUGACCACGUCAGUAGCGUCCCCUCGUCGUCGACGGCGGCUCAGGGAAAUCGAGGAAGGAGGCGAGUCCGUCCCACGGCGUCGCUGUCGGGGAGCACUAAGGGAGCUCCCUGUCUUGGUUUGCAGCAAGUAUGUUCAGCACGCCGCCUCCAGCCACAAGCAUCGCCGUGAGGAGGACAAAUCAAUCUCAUUCCCCCCUUCUUCGCGACGCAGAUAGAUCACACUUAUUCAACAAGUAUGUCCGAUUUGUUGUUCACAAAUUAAACAUUAAGGCAAUUAGGAUCUGGAUCUUUGAGAUGUUUAGCUUUACAUGUUCAUUAGGGAUUUGUUGUUGCUGAAAGGGAGCAAAAUAGAGGGAAUAUCUUUUUCCAAAAAAAGUUUACAUACUGAGCUGUACGCCUGUACUUUAGAAUGUAAUCUUAGUGUUAACUGCAUCAUACCAUUACUAAAAAGAUUUGGAAUUUAUCUUGUAUGUGAUUGGUUUGUAGGGCUGUAGGCUGGUGAGGUCUGGUUAUAGCACAAUGCUUCAGACUAAUAUCAAAGGAAUAAAUUGAUCAAUAAGUUUCAGCCAUGAAAGGGUGCGGACACUGCCAAAGACGAUCAGUGCCUGGUUAAUUAGGACAUGGCGUGUAGGCCAAAGAAGCUAGGAGGCCUCAGGAUUCUUAACUUAUGUCAUACGAGCACAGCUGUGAAGGUUUGUUGGCUAUCGCUACAGCGCACUGACAUGACAAGGUCAUGGAGAAUCCUUCCUCUAGUUGCUGGUGCAGAUGUUGCUAUCUUACUCGCUGGAACCAAUGUCCUAAUUGAGUAAUUGGGGAUGGUAAUUUCACGCGGUUUUGGCAGGACGCCUGGAUCAACGGUUUUUCAGUUGCUGAGAUCACACCAGACCUUCUCUCUGAUCCCCCUUUAUCGAUCCAGCAGAAAGGAACAGUGGCUGGGGCUUUGACCCUUGGUACAAGGCCCUAACCUCCGUUGCCAAGUUUAUGCCAGUUCUGAACGUGCUGGGGGUACUCAAAGGGUUGACAUCGAUCUUCAAGUAUCAGUACCUGGUCGUGGAGCCGGGAUUCAUCUGGAAAAUACACAUCCAGAACUGUCUAUAAAGCCUUUUUUUUUGGUGGCCAUCGAGUCUCAGUAUGCCUGAGUCAUCCGGAAAGCCUGGGCAUCCCUUAGUUGCAAUAUAUUUAUGUGGCUUCCUAUCUGAAAGAGAUGCUGGACUGCAGACCCCCUUGGGAAGCAUGGGUUACAGCACAACGAGACCCGUGUGUUCUGUCAGACUACGAGCAGAGACCUGGGCCAUUUACUCAUCAGGUGCGGCAUCUUCAACAUGAUUUGGACCAGGGUACUGCAAUGGUAUGAUACUUCAGCCAAUGGUUGGAGCUCAUUUUGAAGAAUGGUGAAUGGCAUCCAGAGGCAGGCUGCAAACAUGACCGAAGAAGCAGAUUUGAUAGCCUGGUAAAGCUGAUCGCCAGAAAUACGUUGAAGAGAAGGAAUGGAAGAGUCUUCGAACAGGAGUAUCACAGCUUUACAGCAGGUCUAGGACGACAUCAGAUCAAAUACAGAUCAUGAAUCACAGUUGGUGCAAAGUGAAAUAUCAAGGAAGACAUACACAAUUAGGGUCGUUUUUUGGGGUCACUAGCUACAGGUUUUUGCCCGCUUCUGUGUUGUAGUUGUUGUAUCACUUUUUGGGGUUUCUUUUUCCCUGUUGCAUUUCUGCUGGUGGUCAUACCUUCUAGGCAUUAUAAAACUCUUUUCCCUAAUUUAUACAUGCAGCUCUCCUACAUGGUCUUGAAAAAAGAAAUGAUUUCUCCA